Long non-coding RNA from Bos taurus (domestic cattle), 345 nucleotides. NCBI's taxonomy places the organism in Eukaryota, Metazoa, Chordata, Mammalia, Artiodactyla, Bovidae. The record is from Ensembl.
GGGAAGCCCCGUGUGCUCCAACAGGAAGGGCUCUGCAGCCGUCCCGACACUGCCGAGAUGAGACCAGCGUGCCAGGCAGGUCCUAGCCUCAUCUGGGUCUGGAAUUUAAAUACUUGUUUCAUGAUCCCCUGCCUAGACAUGGAGACUUUCCAAAACAAAAUGGCUAAAUGAAUUCUGAGAGAUUACUGCAGACUCCAUGAGGUUCCUCAGGCUGUGGUGUGAGGUCUUAGCUGCCCUGUGGUAUGUGGGCUCCUCGAUCCCCCAGCAAUGAUGGAACCCGCUUCCCCUGCAUUGGGAAUCCCCUUGGCAUAGGACCCUGAGUAUCCACUGUAGGGAUGUGGGUUC